Molecule: unclassified non-coding RNA, 208 nt
Filed under: Hevea brasiliensis (rubber tree)
Lineage: Eukaryota; Viridiplantae; Streptophyta; Magnoliopsida; Malpighiales; Euphorbiaceae
Source: RNAcentral
AUUUAGUAGGCAAUAGCAUUUCAGUAUAUAUGAAAUGGCUUGUGCAGCAAGAAGUUAACUAAAGAACAGUGACUAGAGGACUAGUACAUUGCAUGCCUUGUCUAGGUAGGAAGGAACUUGACUGCAGCCAGCCUAUAUGUGAAAUUACAUACAAUAUAUUUUCUUAUAUGUUGAUUUCUUGGGAACUAUUGCCAACUGCAAAUGAGUA